GAUGAACGCUGGCGGCGUGCCUAAUACAUGCAAGUCGAGCGAACAGAUGAGGAGCUUGCUCCUCUGACGUUAGCGGCGGACGGGUGAGUAACACGUGGAUAACCUACCUAUAAGACUGGGAUAAAUUCGGGAAACCGGAGCUAAUACCGGAUAAUAUAUUGAACCGCAUGGUUCAAUAGUGAAAGACGGUUUUGCUGUCACUUAUAGAUGGAUCCGCGCCGCAUUAGCUAGUUGGUAAGGUAACGGCUUACCAAGGCAACGAUGCGUAGCCGACCUGAGAGGGUGAUCGGCCACACUGGGACUGAGACACGGUCCAGACUCCUACGGGAGGCAGCAGUAGGGAAUCUUCCGCAAUGGGCGAAAGCCUGACGGAGCAACGCCGCGUGAGUGAUGAAGGUCUUCGGAUCGUAAAACUCUGUUAUUAGGGAAGAACAAAUGUGUAAGUAACUAUGCACGUCUUGACGGUACCUAAUCAGAAAGCCACGGCUAACUACGUG
RNAcentral lists this ribosomal RNA (497 nucleotides) under uncultured bacterium. Its description in RNAcentral is "partial 16S ribosomal RNA". It matches the Rfam family "Bacterial small subunit ribosomal RNA", at positions 28 to 507 of the family's 1533-position model. The record is from RNAcentral.